This 373-nucleotide ribosomal RNA is filed under the name uncultured organism. Its description in RNAcentral is "bacterial SSU rRNA". It matches the Rfam family "Bacterial small subunit ribosomal RNA", at positions 526 to 897 of the family's 1533-position model. The record is from RNAcentral.
CGGAGGGUGCGAGCGUUGUCCGGAAUCACUGGGCGUAAAGGGCGCGUAGGCGGCGCGGGCAGUCAACGGUGAAAGCUUGGGGCUCAACCCCGAGUCGGCCGUCGAUACUCCCGUGCUGGAGCACUGUAGAGGCAGGUGGAAUUCCGGGUGUAGCGGUGGAAUGCGUAGAGAUCCGGAAGAACACCGGUGGCGAAGGCGGCCUGCUGGGCAGUAGCUGACGCUGAUGCGCGACAGCGUGGGGAGCAAACAGGAUUAGAUACCCUGGUAGUCCACGCCGUAAACGAUGGGCACUAGGUGCUUGGGGGAGCGACCCUCUGAGUGCCGGCGCUAACGCAUUAAGUGCCCCGCCUGGGGAGUACGGCCGCAAGGCUGA